This is a non-coding RNA of Podarcis lilfordi (Lilford's wall lizard), 8263 nucleotides long. NCBI's taxonomy places the organism in Eukaryota, Metazoa, Chordata, Lepidosauria, Squamata, Lacertidae. The record is from the annotation of a GenBank genome assembly.
GAGAAAUGAGAAAAAAUAAAUCAGCAAGAACUACAUAAAGCAAAAUGAAUAUGACAAAAUGGCAUGCAAAAGAUAAAGAGAAGGGUGUAGAGUUGUUGGCAACCACCAAGCUGUGGAUUUUUAAAUUCAUAUAUUUUAUAGUAGACAUCCUGGCAGCUAAACAAAGAACAAAUAGGUGCAUAUAUUAGAACAAGAAGCAAAAUCACAUUGUCGCCUUUCUGAAGCCUGUAAAAAUGAACUUUUAAUUUCAGUGGAGUCGAGACUAUACUUCUUACUGAUUCUCACAGCCAUAUUGAACUAAAGGUAAUUCAGUUUCUUCCCCAAUGAUUUUGUUUGACUCUUUCCCAAAUCCAGGGAUUCAUCCCACUGAAAAGUGACAUUUUGAGAUACAUAAAAAUGGUCAUAUUUGGAGGUCUCCAAUUUCAGCUGUGCUGAUAUCAUAUUGAGCUUUAACAUACCUGCGUUCUGCUUUUAGAUUUCACAGAUGUGCAUUACCAAUUGACCCACUCUGGCACACCCAUUCAAUAUAUGUCCAAAUAUUGCCCCCAAAUUCUCCCUUCCACUUAGGGAACCUCUACUGAAUAAAACUAUAUGUGCAAUAAGAAAAGAGGCAUUUUGGAUUCUCCUUGUUAAGCAUCCAACAGUGCAGUCCUGCACAUCUUUACUCAGGAGUGGGUUUCACAGUAUUCAUUGGGGCUUACUCUGUAGUAAAUGUGUUUAGAAGUUCUUCAACCUUGUUUUCAGGUUCUUCACUGCCAAGUCAUCUCAUGCUGAAGUUCUGAAGGAGUCCAUCUCUCUUCCCAUGAAUUAUUUCUCUUGGUGUAUUCCAUUUACCUUCAUUACAACUUGUUCCUUUACCUGUGUCUUGGGCAUCUAUUUUGCAUUAGGGUUAGGGUUAGGUCUUUAUUAUCUUCUCACAACUGCAUGUUACUGUGUGUUUCAUUGUACAUGAGUUUCCAUUCCUUUCCACAGAGGCAGCAAAACUGUCUGCAGAUGGAUCAGAUGCCUAAGUUGAAAUAAAUGUGAAGAACCAUUUUAUGGCCUGGGGGAAGUUAUGCAUACACCAGAGUUCUUGCACCGGUAGGAAAUGUGCAAAAAUCCAGGUCUUUCUUAUACAUUGCAAUCCUAUACAUAAAUGGAGAAGUAAGUUCAGUGGGACAUUCUCCAGCAAGUGUGUUUAGGAUUGCAGCCAUUAAAAGCUAAUUUCCUUAUUUGCAUUCUUCCUAGAUGAUUUUGGAUUGACCCUGAAAAGAGAGUGCAUUUUUUUUGGGGGGGGGGGGGGGGAAUCAUUGUGCUACAGACAUUGAAAAGGUAAGAGAUUUAGAUUUUCUCUUCCCCCAACCCUAAACUUUUGGAAUUAGUUUGUACUGUGUGUGUUUUUUAAAGAGCUGCCAAAAUGCUGAUUCAUUCCACUUUGUAGAUUAGAUUAUUUUAAAUGUCUUAUAGAGUCAAGCCCUCUUUAUGUCUUCCUCAAUUUGCCACAAUAUUUUGAAAUUGUCCGGGACAUUCCCAUAAGUGAUCUGAGUUUCAUCAAGCUGAAAAUGAAGUCACCAAAGCAAAGCCAUUUCAGUGUUCUUCGGGGUUUUAGGUUUUGCCUUUCUUUUCCUUUUUUUAAUCAAAUCACAGUUCCAGCCAGGUUGUUUCAUUCUUUCCCAUACAUACCACAAAGGAUACACAAAGUUAAUCAAGUGUGGCCAGAUGAAAAGCUGCUUAUGUUGUGUGUAGGAACUGACAUCAAGCAUUAUUUCAGUGACAUCAUGAGAGAUUUUUAGAAUUGGCAAUUAAAUGGGGGGAAAGUGGUUCUAAAUAAUUCUGGAAAAAUGACAUGUGAUGUGGUUCUAUAAAAAAAAAAGUUGGUGUUUCUAGGUCAAAUUUGCCAGAUCUGAAAUUACACAGGCAAUUUCAUUGCACCCCCUUUUCACUGCAGCCAAUCCCGAACUUGAAAUUUGAAAACUCUGCCUUCAUUAGGCACUGAGCAAAAUCCAAAGAAAGCUAAAUCAGAUUAAGGGUGCUUCUAAGUGGGAAACUGCUUAGGUAGGUAUACUGACGUAGCAAACCUGAUACAUGCAAGUCAUCCAUGCAGAUUUCUUUCUGCACCAUUGCUUGUGCCAAAGGCAGACCAAAGAAUUAGCAGCAGGACUGCACCAGUGUCACUGCACUGCAUGGGAAAAAAUUGUGCGUAAAGUCCAGUGUGAUAACUGGUAGGGUAGCAUUUUUCCUUGUACUUUCAAAGAGGUAAUAAAACAUGGAGCUGGUGGUCCUGAAGAAUGGUAUCUAGCUGCAUUUUAAAUGCUCAUGAAGCCAAUGGCUUCAAUCCUAAAUUUCUCCCUUUCAUAUAAGGAGAGCACCUAUUCCACAAACACCCACUCCAUCUGCAUCCCCUGCCCCGCAACAUAACCCAAGCAUUUGGAGGGAAAGAGGAAGCUGGUGAGUGUGGUGCAGAAAGCUGUAUCCUGAAAAAAUGAACCCAGUAAUAGUCAUGGGAAAAGUUAAGAUCAAAGCCACUUAAUUUCCUCAUUCAAACUUACCUUUACCUGUAUUGUAUCCACCCUUAUAAAAUGUAAUAAAUGUUUAGUAACAUCAACUUGGUUUUAAAAUACGUUCUUUGUGCUCAUACUUGGAGGAUACAUCCUGUUUGUUCUUCCUCGUGUACAUGAAAAUGUUUGCAGAUCUUCCCUGGGGCCAAUUGAAGAAGUGUGAAAUGAUUUGCUAGGGAGACCACUUUGUAGACAGACACUCUCAAGUAGAAUAUAUAUCAUCAUUUUGUGAUAUAAUCAAGUAAAUGUUGACAAUGACUUUUAGGCAACUGAUCCUGAUCACUGGUAAAUCUCUGACUUUUCAGAGAGUUACAUUUGUUUGGGAUUGUCAGCGUGUGAAUGUUAUAUACCAAAUAUUGGACAUUCGCUACAGUUUGUGUGUGUGUGUUGUCUAUCUGUGUAUGCACACACAUAUUCAGAACUCUCUGGUAUAUGUACAGAUAUUCACAACAUUUACAUGGAACUGUGAACAUUUGCAUGUGAAUAAUCAAAUUUGGACAUUCACUGUAUGUGUGUGUGCGCGCGCACACACACAUCUGUAGCUGCCAACUGAUGCAAGAAUGGGUUAUAUUUACAUGACUCCAUUAGUUUAACCAUAAACAGCUGCUUUAAUUCAUACCAUAUUCUCUUCAAUUCAGAAUUACAUUAGUUUUAAGGAGAUUAAAUGGUCGCAAUCCAGAGAAUCACCUCUUCACAGAGAAACAGGUGUCUGCCAAUGAGUUCAUGAGAUGUAAGAAGGGGAAUCUGCAGUGCUUCAGACACCCAAUAAUAUUUGUGGUGUUCAAGUUGUGCCUCUUUAUAAGUACAGUACAUAUUGUCCAAAUAUUUUCUCCUUUUAAGCUUUUAGGCUACAAAAUCAUUUAUUCUGGAGCAGUACCAGUCCACUAAUAACCCAGUCCUUGUGACACCAUUUCAGAGGUACUUAGGUAUAUUAUUAAUAAGUUUAUGACAGAUGCACAACUUCCCAAAGAUGACAUUAUGCUGGCAUUAUCUGCAUCAAGGCAGAUAAAUUUAACUGCAGUGCCAUAUUUUCCAGUCUGAAUUUAAUGCGACUGCCCUUUAAAACGUUAUUGAGCUAAUUGACAUGAUUCUGUGGUUUUAGAAAAAAAGAAGAAGAAGAAGCAAAGCAGAUGUGUAUUAUUAAUCCUAAUCUAAAACAUUGGUUUUUGAAUGUUUUCUUACUUGUAAGCACCAAAAUAUCUUGGAACAUAUAAUAAAAAAACAAGAAAACAGAAAUCUGAGAUGGGAAAACGGAGUUGCUGGAAACGGACCUUUUAGCAGAGCAUUUUUCCUAUACAUUAACCACAUUUUAGUGAUAGAUAAUGUUAAACAGGCACAAUUGUGGAGGAAAAGUACAAAACAGUGGAUUUUAAUAGAUCCCCUCCCACAAGCAAACUGAUAGGUGAGUUAAUUUAAAAUCCUGCUGCUCAUAGAAUUUCUAUAGUGGUUCUGGCUACAUUUCUCUGACCAAUGACCAUCUGGAAAGGCUGUCUAUGGGGCUUCCCAGAUUAUCAGGGUGAAUUCAGUAAGGGCAUGAUCUACACAUGUCCCUGAUGCACGGGCCACUUCCUGACUAUCUAGUUUUCACAAGUGAGCCCUGUCAAGGCCCAGACGUAUCUGAACUCCAGGCAAAUGCUCUCUUUCUGCAAAAGUGGCUAUAACUAGUAGAAAAAAACCAUGAUAGCCUCUGACUGGAAUCUGAAUAGAGAAAUGCUUCACAGGUUGCUUCUGUAUUGUAACAUACUGGCACAGCCUUCCCCAAUCUGGUGGUUUGGUGUUUUGGAUUACAGCUGCCAUCAGCUGAUAGGGUGUAUACCGUAUUUUUCGCUCUAUAGGACGCACUUUUUCCCCUUCAAAAAUGAAGGGGAAAUGUGUGUGCGUCCUAUGGAGUGAAGACGCCAUAGCCCCGCGACCCUCUCCCAGCUGGAGAGGUGACACACGGCUAUGGCAGGAGCCUCUUUAGCUGUGCGCCACCUCUCCAGCCGGGAGAGCGCGCGCGGGGCUAAAGAAGCCCCCCGUGACCCUCUCCCGGCUAGAGAGGUGACGCGCGGCUAUGGCAGGAGCCUCUCCGCUGUGCCUUUCCGCUGCUCCCUGACCUGCUCUUUGGGGCUGGUGGUGGACUUCCCCCCGCCAGCCCCAAAGAGCAGGUCGAAAGGAACCUGAAGCCUGGAGAGCGAGAAUGCAGGUAGCCGCCUGAAGGCACCUUAAACGGCACCUUGUUUUAGAGCGGGAAAACAAGAGGGGGGAAAUGCUCCGGCAUGGUUACUCUCACAAACUGCAGUGAUACACCACUGUUUUGUGGGAUAUUAAACUAAUAAUUCAUGUUUUGCCAGACAGGUGCAUGAAAGGACUGAGGCUCACAGAGCUUUCCUGGUGGUGCCUCCAAAAGUGGGAGACUCCUUUGACCCCCUCCGCAGCAGCAGCAGCAGGAGGAGCUGGCCACUGAAGCUGUGCCGCACUUGGGUCCACGUUUGGCCUCUUCCUCCUCCCCCUGGUCUUUUGGGACAUGGGGGGCCCGGCCUCUCAAAAAAUAUUGGGGGAAACCAAAAGGGCUCAGCCCCCAGGAGUUGGCAGCCCUGCUUGAGGCACAGGUAGUCUCGGUGGCUAGUAGUCCCUUUUACCAGCUUCAGUUGGAAAGACAACUACAGCCAUUCCUGGACCAAAAGAGCUCAGCCACUAUAUUUUUGAUGUGGAUAACCUCAAGAUUGGAUUACUGCAAAGUGCUCUAUUAUGGCUUCCUUUGGGCUUAAUCUGGAAGGUGCAACUGGUGCAGAAUGCAGCAGUGAGAUUGUUGACUGGGGUAGCCCAUCACACCAUAUAACCACCUGCUGAAGGAACUGAACUGGCUACCAAUGACACAGUUCAAGGCCCUGCUUUUAGCAUUUGAAGCCUUAAAUGACUUGGAACCAGGAUAUCUAAGGGGCCACCUUGUACACUAUAUCCCUGCCCAGCAACUGCUCUUCUUGGAUUGAGCACGGCUGAGAGUACCAUAUGCCCCAGAGGUGCACUUAGCCUGCACUAGAAACCAGACUUUUAGUGUUGCAGCUCCAGUUAUCUGCAAUAAAUCACCAGCUGAAAUCGGACAAGUGCCUAGCGCAAUGAUGUUCAGGUGCCUACUGAAGACAUUUUUGUUUAGGAAGGCUUUCCUUGAGGUGCAACCCAGUCAUUUAUGGAAGAUCAAUUUUAUAUCUGAUGAAAUGGUUUUGCUGUUUUUAGAGUCUGUAUGGAUGGUUUUAUUGUUUUAUAGUUUGCUGAAUUGAUGUUCUUGUUCUCUGAAGCACUUGUGUUUCAGUAUUUGAUUCUCCUUUUUUCUUUUUCUUUUUACUGUGUCCACUGCUUCACACAAGCAAAUGUGUGCAGGAUUGGGGGCAGCAACUGCUUUGACAGCAGAACAUCACAAUGUGUGGCUUUACCAAGCAAAGAUAAACCUGUAUUUGGCAACGGUGCAUAGCUGACAGCCCUUAUUUCAAUAUAGUAUUGAAGUAUCAGGAUUGCCAUGAGAGUACAGAAAUGGGAAGAGGUGACAAGCCUAUAAGGUAAAAGGUAAAGGACCCCUGGACAGCUAACUCCAGUCAAAGGUGACUAUGGGGUGCAGUGCUCAUCUUGCUUUUCAGGCUGAGGAAGCUGGCAUUUGUCCACAGGCAGCUUUCCGGAUCAUGUUCCCAGCAUUACUAAACCGCUUCCGGUGCAACGGGACACCGUGAUGGAAGUCGGGGUGCACAGAAACACCAAAUACCUUCCCACCACAGGUAUCUACUUGCACUGGUGUGCUUUCAAACUACUAGGUUGGCAAAGGCUGGGGCAGAGCAACAGAAGCUCACCCCAUCUAGUGGAUUCGAACCGGCAACCUUCCGAUUGGCAAGCCCAAGAGGCUCAGUGGUUUAGACAACAGUGUCACCUGCAUCCCUGGAAACCUGUACCUAUACUCAGAACUAAGUCCCACUAUGUCCAAUAGUGGGAUUAACCCCCAGUGAACAUGUGAACAUGUGACAAAGACUGUGUACACAUUAGUGGCUUAAAACUGAUCAUUCUUUUUCUCAACUUGGAUUGAAACUGGUUUGGGGAAAACACAUCAAAACUAUGUAGACACACCUGCUUACUCUGCAUCCAGUACAUUCCCAUUGCUGGUUUUGGAAGCAAUAUACACUCAAUCCAUCUAUCCUGUUUUUGCUUGGGAAAUACUGUGUUUUGAUAUGGUUUUCCCCAAACCAGCAUCAAUCCAAAUUGAGAAAAAGAAUACCCUAGCUAAGUUUUAAGCCAUUAAUGUGUACACAGCCACUGCAUUUCAUGAGAACCCGCAGGUUAGAUACAGGAUAGAUAGGGAUUAUAGCUAACAUUGUGUGUACACUUCUUCCCAAACCAGUGAUGGGAGUGCACUGAAUGCAAAUUAAAUGAGAACGUGUGCACAGCCAAAGUCCCAGGGGCUUAACACCGAAGUAAACAUGCAUAGAAUUGUUCUGUGCAAGUCUUUUGGCCUUCUCCCCCCAUGCAAGUCAGUUAUGUCAGUGAAACACUUCACACCUGAUAUAUCGUCGUAACCUUUUUAAAAAAUGGAUUGCCACUGGAGAGCUGCAUAACAAGAUGUGUGUCUCUGAAUUUGGAGACACACCAUUUCCCAAAGAAUUAAGGUGGUCCAAUACAGCCUACAUUGCUCGUAGUGCACACACUCUGAUUUCUUUUGCCAUGCCAUUAGCUCUGGUUGAACAGUUGGCUUUUCUUUCAAGUGCUGCAAGAACGUGGAAAACCUGUUUGAUCAGGGAUGGUUAUGGGACAGAAAGAGAAAUGAGUGCAUGUAUAUGCUACAAGCAACACUGAACAUCAGAAGAGGCUGCUAGAUCAGGCUAAUGGCCCGUCGAGUUCAGCAUCCUGUUCUCGCAGUGGCCAACUCAUACCUCUAUCUCACACCAUCUCUCACCAGCCUCAAUCGCCUUACAUAAGAUGUUACUGAAAUUAAGCAAGCGAACUCAAUGUAUACCAAGAGGACUAAGCAGUAGAUUAGAUUCUCAGGGCAAUUAGUUCUGGCCAAGUUCCCUUUAACUCCAGUGCCUGCAAUUAAUUUGCUCAUUUCCUGAGCCCCUGCACAUUCUCAUUGACCCUUUGUCAACUGAAGUGCAACUCAGAAAACAAGAGAGAGGGGGGGCUUUUCAGUUGUGGCAUCUUUGCAAGGAUUAUGCCCUUAAGACGGGCAUGUCUGAUCCCCUCUUUGCCCACUUUUAAGACUGCUUUAUCUGUUGUCAUCUUUUAUACGAUGUGCUUUUUACUGCUAUUUGUUUAAUGCGUUGUAUUGUUGGGCUUUUUUAUAUCCUAGAUUUUGAUUAUGUCUCAGAAUGAUGGCAUAUAAAUGUUGGAAUCAAAUAAAUAAUUAUUUUCACUGAAUUUAGAGCCCUGGUUCACACAUCCAUUUUUGUCUCUUGGUGACUACAAACAUGUGAAACCGCCAUCAUUGAUGAAUCAAACCAAAAGGAGGGGUUUUGUAUUGCCUACCGUACUUCAACUCAAUACUUUGCCAUGUAAGCAAUUCAUACAUUCAUGUUUGUGUCACUGAGUAGUGAGCUACCAAGUGAUGAACAUGCAUUAUGUGAAUAUGCCCUUAUAAGAGUCCUGAUUCUUUGAACUACAUGUUUAGGAACAUCAUGCUGGCCAUUAUUUAUAAAUUCAACUACUGUCCCUCAUGGUUUCCACAGAAACUGAGCCAGACGACCAAAUUCAACACAUUUUCAUCAGGC